GUGCCCGACACCAGCCGUGUACCUACACUGCAGUGCCUGACACCAGCUGUGUAACUGCACUGCUGCCCACAGCAGCACCAGCCAUGUACCCACAUUGCUGUGCCCAGCAACGUAAGCUGUGUACCCGCACUGCUGCCCACACCAGCCGUGUACCCCCACUGCUGUCCACACCCACACCAGCCAUGUACCUGCAUUGCUGUGCCCGACACCAGCCGUGUACCUGCACUGCAGUGCCUGACACCAGCUGUGUAACUGCACUGCUGCCCACACCAACACCAGCCGUGUACCCACACUGCUGUGUCCACCAACGUAAGCCGUGUACCCGCACUGCUGCCCACACCCACACCAGCCGUGUAC
This 357-nucleotide long non-coding RNA is filed under the name Homo sapiens (human). Its description in RNAcentral is "HSALNT0254283". Lineage: Eukaryota; Metazoa; Chordata; Mammalia; Primates; Hominidae. The record is from RNAcentral.